RNAcentral lists this ribosomal RNA (232 nucleotides) under uncultured bacterium. RNAcentral describes it as "partial 16S ribosomal RNA". It matches the Rfam family "Bacterial small subunit ribosomal RNA", at positions 99 to 334 of the family's 1533-position model. The record is from RNAcentral.
CGGACGGGGGAGUAAUGUCUGGGAAACUGCCUGAUGGAGGGGGAUAACUACUGGAAACGGUAGCUAAUACCGCAUAACGUCGCAAGACCAAAGAGGGGGACCUUCGGGCCUCUUGCCAUCGGAUGUGCCCAGAUGGGAUUAGCUAGUAGGUGGGGUAAAGGCUCACCUAGGCGACGAUCCCUAGCUGGUCUGAGAGGAUGACCAGCCACACUGGGACUGAGACACGGUCCAG